GCGUUUUUUUUUUUUUUUUUUUUGAUUUUUUUUUUUUUUUU
Molecule: non-coding RNA, 41 nt
Filed under: uncultured Chlorophyceae
Lineage: Eukaryota; Viridiplantae; Chlorophyta; Chlorophyceae
Source: RNAcentral